GGGGACUUGGCUCAGUGGUAGAGCGCUUGCCUAGCAAGCGCAAGGCCCUGGGUUCAGUCCCCA
RNAcentral lists this transfer RNA (63 nucleotides) under Rattus norvegicus (Norway rat). It matches the Rfam family "tRNA". Rfam says of the family: Transfer RNA (tRNA) molecules are approximately 80 nucleotides in length. Their secondary structure includes four short double-helical elements and three loops (D, anti-codon, and T loops). Further hydrogen bonds mediate the characteristic L-shaped molecular structure. tRNAs have two regions of fundamental functional importance: the anti-codon, which is responsible for specific mRNA codon recognition, and the 3' end, to which the tRNAs corresponding amino acid is attached (by aminoacyl-tRNA synthetases). tRNAs cope with the degeneracy of the genetic code in two manners: having more than one tRNA (with a specific anti-codon) for a particular amino acid; and 'wobble' base-pairing, i.e. permitting non-standard base-pairing at the 3rd anti-codon position. The record is from Rfam by way of RNAcentral. Lineage: Eukaryota; Metazoa; Chordata; Mammalia; Rodentia; Muridae.